UACAGAGGUCUCAAGCGUUGUUCGGAUUCAUUGGGCGUAAAGGGUGCGUAGGCGGCGCGGUAAGUCGGGUGUGAAAUCUCGGGGCUUAACUCCGAAACUGCAUUCGAUACUGCCGUGCUUGAGGACUGGAGAGGAGACUGGAAUUUACGGUGUAGCGGUGAAAUGCGCAGAUAUCAGGAGGAACACCAAUGGCGAAGGCAGCUCGCUGGGACGGUACUGACGCUGAGGAGCGAAAGCGUGGGUAGCAAACAGG
RNAcentral lists this ribosomal RNA (253 nucleotides) under uncultured bacterium. RNAcentral's name for it is "partial 16S ribosomal RNA". It matches the Rfam family "Bacterial small subunit ribosomal RNA", at positions 524 to 776 of the family's 1533-position model. The record is from RNAcentral.